Molecule: unclassified non-coding RNA, 248 nt
Filed under: Hevea brasiliensis (rubber tree)
Lineage: Eukaryota; Viridiplantae; Streptophyta; Magnoliopsida; Malpighiales; Euphorbiaceae
Source: RNAcentral
UCCUCACUGCCACCGCCUCUUCCGCCGGGAAAUUACUUUGGUUCAUUCACGUUUCAUCUUCACUUCUGAGAGUAUCAGCAAAGGAGAUAACUGAAGUUGCGAUUUAAGGAAAUGGCGGAAGAGCAGGAGAAAACCAAAGAAAAACUCAAGCAAAAUCCUAAAAAACGCAGAAAGCAUGCUUUUCCCUAUGGCAAUUAUCGAGAUUACUAUGGCUACAGGGUAGGUCAAAAAGUGGUUGAAGAUCCUCG